Long non-coding RNA from Pteronotus mesoamericanus, 692 nucleotides. RefSeq lists it as uncharacterized. The transcript has 3 exons. NCBI's taxonomy places the organism in Eukaryota, Metazoa, Chordata, Mammalia, Chiroptera, Mormoopidae. The record is from RefSeq and is a predicted model, not a curated record.
UGCCCCCUGUCGGGACGCCGGGGGUGGCAGGAGCCGCCUCGCAGCGCCGCGGGGGCGCCGGGGGCGCCGCGCGAUGCUGCGGGGGAGGCGGCGGCGGGGGCUGCCGCCCCGGCGGCAGGACAUGGCUCGCGUGCAGGCCGUGCGCGGGACCCUUGGCGUGCGCUGGGGGCUGCUCGGGCUGCGGUGGCCGCCCGGGGCUGGCGCCGCCGCGGUAGCCAUAAGGAGCAAUUCCCAAACAAAAACAAGCUAUGGAUGGAAUAGGCAUUGUGCCCAGUCUGAUCGCCGACGGGUCCUUUCCCGCUAGGAAUUUUAUGUUCUGUCUUUUGGAUGCUGCUCUCUCAGACUCAAUCUGAGGAGCGAGAGUCUCCCGGACUGACUGUUCUCUAUCUGAAGCACGUCUCUGGAGCGCACACGGGAAUGGCUGAAAUUCUGAGUAGCUGAUGGUGGCAUUUGAGAGCUUUCACCCCCCUAGACUAGGCGUGUGAUUUUAAAGAAGCAAUACUUUAUCCGCCAUUUGACCAAUUAAUUGUUUGGGGGUAAUUUCCUUGCAGUCAUUUGUAGCAAUGAGCACAAUCUAGGCAUAAAGGUUGAAAUUUAUACUCGGAUUAUAUAGGAAUUUACACCAAGAUUGUGUGGAAGGCCUAAACAUCACCAUCUUCCAAAUAAAAAAGUAAGCACUCUAAAAGCAAUAA